Long non-coding RNA from Oxyura jamaicensis (ruddy duck), 1352 nucleotides. RefSeq lists it as uncharacterized. The record is from RefSeq and is a predicted model, not a curated record. NCBI's taxonomy places the organism in Eukaryota, Metazoa, Chordata, Aves, Anseriformes, Anatidae. The transcript is spliced from 2 exons.
UUUGCUGGGUGGAAAAGCACCUCUACACUGCAAUACAGACACAGCUCCCACCCAGCUGAGGUGUCUCAAGCCCCCUAAGGGUUAGGCAGAUCCAAGCUGAACCCAGAUAAGAUGGUAUGUAGAGAAGUACUAAGUUUGGGAAGCAGUAUACCUUGUCUGGCACCAGGCUGCUCCUUGUUAAUGAGUCCCUCUGCAAGAUUCAUUAACUUGGCCAAAGUGCUUGGCUGACAAAAUUAUCAUGGAGAGGUCUGUGCAGCUUUCUGAUGGACCUCCACCUGUGCUGCUCUGUCUGUUCUACCUCUCAGUGGGCACUGGGCUCAAGUGGGCACUGAGGACAUGUUUAGAAAACCAGAGGUCCAGGACCAGUAAGCAAAUCUGCAGCCAGCUUCCACGGGGCUCGGGGGCCUUGUUUUGAGAACUGUGCAAGUCUGUUGCACCUGAGGUCUCUGCAAGAAGAUGAGUGAAGGAGUAACAGCUGGAAGAUGAGCUGUCACCCUUGGGUCAUUAUUCACAUCUUGCACUGCUGAAGGAGUCCAAGGUUCAAACUUUCCUCCUGGAUUGCUACUGGAUUUUCCACGAAUUGUGUUGAAGGGUAUGGCCUUUGAUCCCAGACUUUGCUCCUGCCUCUCUGGGCUGGUACCUCCUGCUGGAAUGGCAGGAGGAGAGAGGCACAGCACACACUGACAGCUCAUUUCUGCUCAUCUCUCCCACACCAGAGCACAACACACGAUGCACACUGAGAGAACUAGGCAGUUCACAACACAGGUCACUUGUGAAAAUAAGAAACAGUCUCCCAAGCAGCCUACUUAGCUCAGGAAAGCCAGAGCAAUUUUUCCUUGUCUCAGGGUCAGCGCAAACAUCUCCCUUGCCCCCUGUGCCAAGCUGUAGCCUUUACCUUAAAACUCUUCCUCCUUGGCUCCUCGUGACCUGCAGCCAUUCAGGACUGCCCAAGUUGAGCUGCGAAAUAGGGUUAGGAAAUUUGCUGUCACUAUCUGCACAUCUGCAGGGUACCUGGACACACACCUCAGGUCCACGUGGCCUGCCCCCAGCUGGCAUUGCUUGUACAUGGGAAUGGGCUGUUUGUGGCUUUUGGGUAUCUGCUCAAAGAGGCACUCACCCUACAGCAUGAAAACUGCCAGAGAUCAGAUAUCUUUGCUGGGAAAUGAUCUUCUUAUCCUGUGAAGCUUUGCGAUUUAAAAGACGUUCCAGUUUGACAUAUCCUAAAGAUAUAUUGUUGUUUUCUUUGGGAAAAACACAGAAAAUGAGCUCUCCUGAAUCUUAUGGUUGUCACUGGAUUCACUCAUGAGGAAGAAAACUCAUGCUCAAACUUCUGCUCUAGAGUGAGUCAAACG